ACGGCGCACGGGUGCGUAACACGUGGGCAAUCUGCCCUUCGAUGGGGAAUAACUCCGGGAAACCGAAGCUAAUUCCGCAUAACAUUCCUUGGACUUCGGUUCGAGGACUCAAAGCCGUAAGGCGUCGAAGGAGGAGCCCGCGCACGAUUAGCUAGUUGGUAGGGUAACGGCCUACCAAGGCUUUGAUCGUUAGCUGGUCUGAGAGGAUGGCCAGCCACACUGGAACUGAGACACGGUCCAGACUCCUACGGGAGGCAGCAGUGGGGAAUCUUGCACAAUGGGCGAAAGCCUGAUGCAGCGACGCCGCGUGGGGGAUGAAGCAUUUCGGUGUGUAAACCCCUUUCGACCCGGACGAAUGCCUCGCAAGAGGAGUGACGGUACGGGUAUAAGAAGCCCCGGCUAACUACGUGCCAGCAGCCGCGGUAAGACGUAGGGGGCCAGCGUUGUUCGGAAUUACUGGGUGUAAAGGGUUCGUAGGCGGUGUGGCAAGUUGGGAGUGAAAUCUCUGGGCUCAACCCAGAGGCUGCUUCCAAAACUGCUGUGCUUGAGUGUGGGAGAGGCGCGUGGAAUUGCAGGUGUAGCGGUGAAAUGCGUAGAUAUCUGCAGGAACACCCGUAGCGAAAGCGGCGCGCUGGACCACAACUGACGCUGAGGAACGAAAGCUAGGGGAGCAAACAGGAUUAGAUACCCUGGUAGUCCUAGCCCUAAACGAUCAGGACUUGGGGUGCCGCACGUUCGUGCGUCGUCCCGGAGCUAACGCGUUAAGUCCUGCACCUGGGGAGUACGGUCGCAAGACUGAAACUCAAAGGAAUUGACGGGGGCCCGCACAAGCGGUGGAACAUGUGGUUCAAUUCGACGCUACGCGAGGAACCUUACCUGGGCUCGAAGCGCACCUGACUAGCUGUAGAAAUACGGCCUUCCCGCAAGGGACAGGUGUGGAGGCGCUGCAUGGCUGUCGUCAGCUCGUGCCGUGAGGUGUUGGGUUAAGUCCCGCAACGAGCGCAACCCCUGCACGUAGUUGCCACUCCGCAAGGAGGGAACU
Molecule: ribosomal RNA, 1042 nt
Filed under: uncultured bacterium
Lineage: Bacteria
Description: bacterial SSU rRNA
Rfam family: Bacterial small subunit ribosomal RNA
Source: RNAcentral